RNAcentral lists this ribosomal RNA (1238 nucleotides) under metagenome. RNAcentral describes it as "bacterial LSU rRNA". It matches the Rfam family "Bacterial large subunit ribosomal RNA", at positions 1564 to 2810 of the family's 2925-position model. The record is from RNAcentral.
UGAGUACGAGAUGCUACGGCAUCGAAGCAGUCUAUGUCAUACUUCCAAGAAAAGCUUGCAAUGUCAUAAACAAAUAAUGCCUGUACCAUAACCGACACAGGUGGGUAGGUAGAGUAUACUAAGGGGCGCGAGAUAACUCUCUCUAAGGAACUCGGCAAAAUGACUCCGUAACUUCGGGAGAAGGAGUGCCUUAUUUUUAUAAGGUUGCAAUAACAAGAUCCAAGCAACUGUUUACCAAAAACACAGGUCUCCGCUAAGUCGUAAGACGAUGUAUGGGGGCUGACGCCUGCCCAGUGCCAGAAGGUUAAAGAAGUUGGUUAGCAUUAGCGAAGCUGAUAACUGAAGCCCUGGUGAACGGCGGCCGUAACUAUAACGGUCCUAAGGUAGCGAAAUUCCUUGUCGGGUAAGUUCCGACCCGCACGAAAGGCGUAAUGAUUUGGAUACUGUCUCGGAGAGGGGCUCGGUGAAAUAGACUUGUCUGUGAAGAUGCGGACUACCUGCACCUGGACAGAAAGACCCUAUGAAGCUUUACUGUAACUUGAGAUUGAAAUUGGACUUUAUCUGCGCAGUAUAGGUGGGAGACGUUGAAAAUAUUCUUGCGGGAAUAUUGGAGUCAUCAGUGAGAUACCACUCUUAUAAUGUUAGAUUUCUAACUUUGUAUCAUUAUCUGGUCAAAGAACAGUUUCAGGCGGGCAGUUUGACUGGGGCGGUCGCCUCCCAAACGGUAACGGAGGCGCACAAAGGUUUCCUCUGAACGUGUAGAAAUCGUAUCUAGAGUGUAAAGGCAUAAGGAAGCUUGACUGUGAGACCUACAAGUCGAGCAGGGACGAAAGUCGGUCUUAGUGAUCUGACGGUGCUGAGUGGAAAGGCCGUCACUCAACGGAUAAAAGUUACUCUAGGAUAACAGGCUGAUCUCCCCCAAGAGUUCACAUCGACGGGGAGGUUUGGCACCUCGAUGUCGGCUCAUCGCAUCCAGGGGCGGUAGUACGUCCCAAGGGUUGGGCUGUUCGCCCAUGAAAGCGGUACGCGAGCUGGGUUCAGAACGUCGUGAGACAGUUCGGUCCAUAUCCGGUGUAGGCGUUAGAAUAUUGAGAGGAGCCUUCUUUAGUACGAGAGGACCGAGAAGGACAUACCUCUGGUGUACCAGUUAUCGUGCCAACGGUAAACGCUGGGUAGCCAUGUAUGGAGAGGAUAACCGCUGAAAGCAUCUAAGUGGGAAGCCCACCUCAAGAUAAGUA